UUGAACGCUGGCGGCAGGCCUAACACAUGCAAGUCGAAUGGUAACAGGAAACAGCUUGCUGUUUCGCUGACGAGUGGCGGACGGGUGAGUAAUGUCUGGGAAACUGCCUGAUGGAGGGGGAUAACUACUGGAAACGGUAGCUAAUACCGCAUAACGUCGCAAGACCAAAGAGGGGGACCUUCUGGCCUCUUGCCAUCAGAUGUGCCCAGAUGGGAUUAGCUAGUAGGUGGGGUAACGGCUCACCUAGGCGACGAUCCCUAGCUGGUCUGAGAGGAUGACCAGCCACACUGGAACUGAGACACGGUCCAGACUCCUACGGGAGGCAGCAGUGGGGAAUAUUGCACAAUGGGCGCAAGCCUGAUGCAGCCAUGCCGCGUGUAUGAAGAAGGCCUUCGGGUUGUAAAGUACUUUCAGCGGGGAGGAAGGGAGUAAAGUUAAUACCUUUGCUCAUUGACGUUACCCGCAGAAGAAGCACCGGCUAACUCCGUG
This 489-nucleotide ribosomal RNA is filed under the name uncultured bacterium. RNAcentral describes it as "partial 16S ribosomal RNA". It matches the Rfam family "Bacterial small subunit ribosomal RNA", at positions 30 to 507 of the family's 1533-position model. The record is from RNAcentral.